RNAcentral lists this long non-coding RNA (3028 nucleotides) under Pan troglodytes (chimpanzee). RNAcentral's name for it is "long non-coding RNA NONPTRT015622". Lineage: Eukaryota; Metazoa; Chordata; Mammalia; Primates; Hominidae. The record is from RNAcentral.
UAUUUCUCUAUUCUAAUUAUCUAGAUUUAUGCCAAUACCUCAUGGCUUUCACUAUAACAAGAAAUGCUAAUACUUCCUUAAUAUUUGUUUUCAUUAGAUCUGGACACUUUUCAUCUUUAGGUUUUAAAGUAGUGUGUCAGUUUUGUGGAUUGAAACUAAGUUACAUGAAUAUAUCUUUUGUGAUAAAUUAUGCUGUAUAAAUAAAUACUUUUCAAAGAAAGAAAAAGACACUUCCUUUAAAUUUACUGAUCUAGAGAUUAUGCACCUUACCUGAGCAGAGCUCCCACAUCAGCCUCAUGUCCUGGUCCCGGCACUGGCUGGUUUGCACAUGCUCACUCUGGCUCAGUGUCACCCCACGGUUGGGUCGUUUCUGGCCAUAGCUAUAGUGUGCUGCUGCGGCCUUCUUAUUCGGAAGCAGCCCUGAGCAUAUGGAUACCAGGAUGCCCCACCGCCGCAUUCUUCCUUCCUAGUUCAUAAAGUCACCUGUGAGGUGGGUUUGCUAUGCCGUUUAAGAACAUCCACUUCGGCCGUGCGCGGUGGCUCACGCCUGUAAUCCCAGCACUUCGGGAGGCCAAGGUGGGUGGAUCACGAGGUCAGGAGAUCGAGACCAUCCUCGCUAAGAAAUAUUAUAUUUCAGGAUGUUCAGCGAUGACACAAAGUGUCAGGUUCAUUAAUUCAAGCUGCACCUCUCUGGCAGACACUCUACUCUUGGGAAAGUCAGAAAUAGUCUCACAUUCAGGGAGCCUCCAGUCUCCAGGCAAGUCCUAUAAAAAUAAAUAUUUGCCAUUUUUUUUAUAAUACAGUAAAUACUUGUUCAAUGUAAAAGCAGUCAAAAUGUGCACUUCUAUAUAGACAAAAUAGUAAGAAUCUCCAAGAACUGAUCAUCCAAAAAAAUACUCUUAUGUAAUUGGUAAAUACAGCAUCAGAUAAAUACAACUUUUAUUCAUUAGCCGAAUGAAUAAUUUUGUUUCCAUUACAUAUAUGUCAGAUCCUGUGCUAGGGAGUGAGGACAAAAUGAUGAGUAAUACAAGAUAUGAGACUUUCCCCUUAGGAUGUUUACAAUCUGGAAGAGCUGACAAAUGCAUAUCAAAUAAUCGCACAUUAUGUAAAGUGACAACUAUGUUACAAGCUAUGAUGGAACAAUCAGUGAUCUAUGAAAGUACUUAAGUUGGGGGUUUGAUGUACUCUAAGAAGUAAGGUAUUUAUUUAUUUACUUACUUUUUGCAGAUGACACUUCACUGGAAUCUGAAGGGCGAAGAGGUGGAUUCUGGACCUGGUGUCGUGAGAGGAGUGGUGGGGCCAAAUACAUGAAGAAGAGAAAGGUGAGUUGUUGAAAUGUCGAUUGAAAGAGGAGUUAUGUUUUGAGACAAGUCUGAAGUGCUGGAGAGGGGCCAGGCCACACAGAGAAUUGCAGACUAUCACAAGCAGAAGUUACUGGUGCAUUGCAAGUAGGUGGAUGACAAGAUAAGAUAGUUUUACACUUUGAGCAUGUGUUGGUAAAACAAGGAUGAAAGACCUGGUGACAAGUUUAAUUAUUAUUUAUGAUUUAUUUGCAAAUCAGUAUCAUAGCAAAAUGCUGUGUGCUGAAAAUUGCUCUUGUACUUAGUAAAAUAUUGUAGAUACCUUUGUUUGAGACAGCAUACUGUUCUAUACUCUUCACAGAGUCACAACGUUCACUGUGUGAAUGUACCUUGGAUUUCACAGGGUACCAUAUUUUCAUGUCUUUUUCAGUAUUUUAAAUAAUGUUGCUAAAAAUAUCCUUCAAGUUAUAUAUUUCUAUAUAUAUUUAUAUAUAUAUAAAUUCUGACAUAUAUGACCUGAAGGUAUAUAUUCAAAUAUAUAUAUAACUAUAUAUAUAUAUAUACUACAUACAUAUAUAGUAAAAUAUGCUAUUUUACUUCUAAGAAGUAAUUUUAUAGAAAUGCUGGAUUAAAGAUAGGCCCAUUUAUAGAAAUUCACAGAUAAUGUCAAACUCACCUACAAAAUAUUAUGCCAGUGUGGGCUUCCCCACCCCUACGGUUAAACAGCCUUGGAUUCACAUCACCCUUGCGUGGAAGAUUUCUGGAUCCUCCCAGCCAGUGCCGCGUGUUAUCUUCUCAUGCCCAUGCUCUGCACUUUGUAAUUACAGGGAAAUACUUUUUGCUAAAAUUUUAAACGCACACAUUCCAUUUCCUGACUCCAUAUGCUUUGUUUAACAUAUGUAUUACCCACUCACUUUCAUUACUUUAAUUAUGUCCAUUUUAGAGAUAAGAAAACUUAUUCACGAAGCAGUUAAGAAAGAAAACUUAUUCACAAAACAGUUAAGAAACUUGCCGAAAAUUAUACCGCUAGUAACUAUGCAGAAGGCUUUAAGUCACUACGGCAUGUUUUCUUCAGAAAAGGUGUUUUAUAAAAUUCAAAAUUGAUCUGUGAUUUUUAAAAAAUCCCUUAGUACACUAAAAGUAAAUCAUAACUCACUAAUGUAGAGAAAGUUCAUUUAAAAAGGAUAACUCUCAUAGAUUAGGAAAUAAAAUAGUUCUCUGUUAAUUUGGUUCACAAUAGUAAAGGUACCACUGAAUGCCAGCUCUGGGCACUGGAGCUUCAGGGAUGAGAAACAGCUGUGUGCUUUGCCCUCUCUUGCUUCUUAGAAUCUCUUAGUAAAGAUCAGUCAUUCAAUAGUCACUGACUUUCAAGCCUACUUUUUACUAUGUUAGGGAAAGUUCACGGGUUGGUGUGAGGGUGAGUAUAAAGGGACAGAGAGCCAGGGCCUGACACCGAGAAAAAGACACAGGGGUGUAUGUUCCAGGAGACUCAAUGCCAGCAGUGCGCUCGCACAGGUGAAACUGUGCUGGUGGAGAUUCUACCAUACAUAAGAAGGAGAUGAUGGCAGCAAGACUUGAGGUAUAACUGCAGAAAUGAAAAGGAAAAAAAAGCAGAUCUGAGAAAUACUUAAUCUGUAACUGCUGAGCUGUGGAAGAGCAAAGAGGGAGGCAUAUGGUGGGAUUAUCCCUUGGAAUGGGAAACAUUAAAUGAAGAGCAAGUUGAGAAG